CAGCCGCCGCGGUAAUACGUAGGUCCCGAGCGUUGUCCGGGUUUAUUGGGCGUAAAGCGAGCGCAGGCGGUUAGAUAAGUCUGAAGUUAAAGGCUGUGGCUUAACCAUAGUACGCUUUGGAAACUGUUUAACUUGAGUGCAGAAGGGGAGAGUGGAAUUCCAUGUGUAGCGGUGAAAUGCGUAGAUAUAUGGAGGAACACCGGUGGCGAAAGCGGCUCUCUGGUCUGUAACUGACGCUGAGGCUCGAAAGCGUGGGGAGCAAACAGGAUUAGAUACCCCGGUAGUCCCUGUCUCUUAUACA
This 301-nucleotide ribosomal RNA is filed under the name uncultured bacterium. Its description in RNAcentral is "partial 16S ribosomal RNA". It matches the Rfam family "Bacterial small subunit ribosomal RNA", at positions 509 to 808 of the family's 1533-position model. The record is from RNAcentral.